CCAGAGAUGGAUUGGUGCCUUCGGGAACUCUGAGACAGGUGCUGCAUGGCUGUCGUCAGCUCGUGUUGUGAAAUGUUGGGUUAAGUCCCGCAACGAGCGCAACCCUUAUCCUUUGUUGCCAGCGGUUCGGCCGGGAACUCAAAGGAGACUGCCAGUGAUAAACUGGAGGAAGGUGGGGAUGACGUCAAGUCAUCAUGGCCCUUACGAGUAGGGCUACACACGUGCUACAAUGGCGCAUACAAAGAGAAGCGACC
RNAcentral lists this ribosomal RNA (254 nucleotides) under Enterobacter cloacae. RNAcentral's name for it is "partial 16S ribosomal RNA". It matches the Rfam family "Bacterial small subunit ribosomal RNA", at positions 1000 to 1254 of the family's 1533-position model. The record is from RNAcentral. RNAcentral also lists the same sequence under 5 other names. Lineage: Bacteria; Pseudomonadati; Pseudomonadota; Gammaproteobacteria; Enterobacterales; Enterobacteriaceae.